RNAcentral lists this transfer RNA (73 nucleotides) under Felis catus (domestic cat). It matches the Rfam family "tRNA". Rfam says of the family: Transfer RNA (tRNA) molecules are approximately 80 nucleotides in length. Their secondary structure includes four short double-helical elements and three loops (D, anti-codon, and T loops). Lineage: Eukaryota; Metazoa; Chordata; Mammalia; Carnivora; Felidae. The record is from Rfam by way of RNAcentral.
GCCUGGCUGGCUAAGUUGGUAGAGCAUGAGACUCUUGAUCUCAGGGUUGUAAGUUCAAGCAUCACACUGGGUA